GAUGAACGCUGGCGGCGUGCCUAAUACAUGCAAGUCGAGCGAACAGACGUGGAGCUUGCUCCUCUGACGUUAGCGGCGGACGGGUGAGUAACACGUGGAUAACCUACCUAUAAGACUGGGAUAACUUCGGGAAACCGGAGCUAAUACCGGAUAAUAUAUUGAACCGCAUGGUUCAAUAGUGAAAGACGGUUUUGCUGUCACUUAUAGAUGGAUCCGCGCCGCAUUAGCUAGUUGGUAAGGUAACGGCUUACCAAGGCAACGAUGCGUAGCCGACCUGAGAGGGUGAUCGGCCACACUGGAACUGAGACACGGUCCAGACUCCUACGGGAGGCAGCAGUAGGGAAUCUUCCGCAAUGGGCGAAAGCCUGACGGAGCAACGCCGCGUGAGUGAUGAAGGUCUUCGGAUCGUAAAACUCUGUUAUUAGGGAAGAACAAAUGUGUAAGUAACUAUGCACGUCUUGACGGUACCUAACCAGAAAGCCACGGCUAACUACGUG
Molecule: ribosomal RNA, 497 nt
Filed under: uncultured bacterium
Lineage: Bacteria
Description: partial 16S ribosomal RNA
Rfam family: Bacterial small subunit ribosomal RNA
Source: RNAcentral